AGUGAACGCUGGCGGUAGGCCUAACACAUGCAAGUCGAACGGCAGCACAGUAAGAGCUUGCUCUUACGGGUGGCGAGUGGCGGACGGGUGAGGAAUACAUCGGAAUCUACUUUUUCGUGGGGGAUAACGUAGGGAAACUUACGCUAAUACCGCAUACGACCUACGGGUGAAAGCAGGGGAUCUUCGGACCUUGCGCGAUUGAAUGAGCCGAUGUCGGAUUAGCUAGUUGGCGGGGUAAAGGCCCACCAAGGCGACGAUCCGUAGCUGGUCUGAGAGGAUGAUCAGCCCCACUGGAAAUGAGACAAGGUCCAGAAUCAUAAGGGAAGCAGCAGUGGGGAAUAUUGGACAAUGGGAGCAAGCCUGAUCCAGACAUACCGCGUGGGUGAAGAAGGCCUUCGGGUUGUAAAGCCCUUUUGUUGGGAAAGAAAAGCAGCAGGUUAAUACCCCGCUGUUCUGACGGUACCAAAAGAAUAAGCACCGGCUAACUUCGUG
This 492-nucleotide ribosomal RNA is filed under the name uncultured bacterium. Its description in RNAcentral is "partial 16S ribosomal RNA". It matches the Rfam family "Bacterial small subunit ribosomal RNA", at positions 29 to 507 of the family's 1533-position model. The record is from RNAcentral.